Molecule: transfer RNA, 25 nt
Filed under: Lophostemon confertus
Lineage: Eukaryota; Viridiplantae; Streptophyta; Magnoliopsida; Myrtales; Myrtaceae
Also listed under: 1 other name
Description: partial tRNA-Lys
Source: RNAcentral
UCCGGUUCGAGUCCCGGGCAACCCA